GACGAACGCUGGCGGCGUGCUUAACACAUGCGAGUCGAACGGAAAGGCCCUGCUUUUGUGGGGUGCUCGAGUGGCGAACGGGUGAGUAACACGUGAGUAACCUGCCCUUGACUUUGGGAUAACUUCAGGAAACUGGGGCUAAUACCGGAUAGGAGCUCCUGCUGCAUGGUGGGGGUUGGAAAGUUUCGGCGGUUGGGGAUGGACUCGCGGCUUAUCAGCUUGUUGGUGGGGUAGUGGCUUACCAAGGCUUUGACGGGUAGCCGACCUGAGAGGGUGACCGGCCACAUUGGGACUGAGAUACGGCCCAGACCCCUACGGGAGGCAGCAGUGGGGAAUAUUGCACAAUGGGCGGAAGCCUGAUGCAGCAACGCCGCGUGCGGGAUGACGGCCUUCGGGUUGUAAACCGCUUUCGCCUGUGACGAAGCGUGAGUGACGGUAAUGGGUAAAGAAGCACCGGCUAACUACGUG
This 468-nucleotide ribosomal RNA is filed under the name uncultured bacterium. RNAcentral describes it as "partial 16S ribosomal RNA". It matches the Rfam family "Bacterial small subunit ribosomal RNA", at positions 28 to 507 of the family's 1533-position model. The record is from RNAcentral.